This 484-nucleotide ribosomal RNA is filed under the name uncultured bacterium. RNAcentral describes it as "partial 16S ribosomal RNA". It matches the Rfam family "Bacterial small subunit ribosomal RNA", at positions 28 to 507 of the family's 1533-position model. The record is from RNAcentral.
AUUGAACGCUGGCGGCAUGCUUUACACACGCAAGUCGAACGGCAGCGCGGGCUUCGGCCUGGCGGCGAGUGGCGAACGGGUGAGUAAUGCAUCGGAACGUGCCCAGUAGUGGGGGAUAGCCCGGCGAAAGCCGGAUUAAUACCGCAUACGACCUGAGGGUGAAAGCGGGGGACCGAAAGGCCUCGCGCUAUUGGAGCGGCCGAUGUCGGAUUAGCUAGUUGGUGGGGUAAAGGCUUACCAAGGCGACGAUCCGUAGCUGGUCUGAGAGGACGACCAGCCACACUGGGACUGAGACACGGCCCAGACUCCUACGGGAGGCAGCAGUGGGGAAUGUUGGACAAUGGGGGCAACCCUGAUCCAGCCAUGCCGCGUGCGGGAAGAAGGCCUUCGGGUUGUAAACCGCUUUUGUUCGGGAAGAAAUCCUCUGGGCUAAUACCCCGGGGGGAUGACGGUACCGGAAGAAUAAGCACCGGCUAACUACGUG